Molecule: transfer RNA, 35 nt
Filed under: Schistochila appendiculata
Lineage: Eukaryota; Viridiplantae; Streptophyta; Jungermanniopsida; Jungermanniales; Schistochilaceae
Description: partial tRNA-Phe
Source: RNAcentral
GCCGGGAUAGCUCAGUCGGUAGAGCAGAGGACUGA